RNAcentral lists this ribosomal RNA (278 nucleotides) under uncultured bacterium. RNAcentral's name for it is "partial 16S ribosomal RNA". It matches the Rfam family "Bacterial small subunit ribosomal RNA", at positions 334 to 608 of the family's 1533-position model. The record is from RNAcentral.
GUUGCCUACGGGAGUCAGCAGUGAGGAAUAUUGGUCAAUGGGCGGGAGCCUGAACCAGCCAAGUCGCGUGAGGGAAGACGGUCCUAUGGAUUGUAAACCUAUUUAGGCGGGGAGGAAUGCCGGGCACGCGUGCCCGGAGGGAGAGUACCCGCAGAAUAAGCAUCGGCUAACUCCGUGCCAGCAGCCGCGGUAAUACGGAGGAUGCGAGCGUUAUCCGGAUUUAUUGGGUUUACAGGGUGCGUAGGCGGAUUUUUAAGUCAGCGGUAAAAUGUCCGGGC